UAUUUUUUUUUCAUGAUUCAAAGUUCAAACCAACUCAUCUAAUCUCCUUCCAGCUGAAAUCGAGAACCCAACUCAAGGAGGGAGUUAUCGCUUGUUUUCUCAAAUCCCAUUCAAGGUGAAUCAUCGCAAGUGAAACGUGAUACCAAGGGGAGGAAAGUGAUUGUGAAUUAAGCAGUCGAGGUUGAGCGGCGACGAGAGUACGGUGGUGUUGAGCAAGUCAAUUGGUAAAUGAACUGUUGUUUUUGAAUUAUGGGUGUCGUUGUGUCUUCACACAUGACGUCACUCUUACUCUUGGUCGUUUCCGCUGUGACAUUUCUUUCAAUUAUCGUUUAUUAGGCUUGCAACCUAAAUUAUUUGGAUAUUGAAUAUUUGGGAUUUUACCAAUUUAUGUCAAAUUCUUGGUCCUUUUAUUUGAAUAUUAAUUGUUGGUCAAGUUCGUUAU
This is a long non-coding RNA of Salvia splendens (bonfire salvia), 442 nucleotides long. RefSeq lists it as uncharacterized. The transcript has 3 exons. The record is from RefSeq and is a predicted model, not a curated record. Lineage: Eukaryota; Viridiplantae; Streptophyta; Magnoliopsida; Lamiales; Lamiaceae.